GAGAGAGAGAGAGAGAGAGAGAGAGAGAGAGAGGUCACCUUCUAUUUUCCUGCUGCCAUUGCUGGAGCAACAAGACCGUUCCUUCGGUGCAAUAACAAUUCUCAAAUGAUGGCCCAAAAACGCCUCCAAACCCCACAAUGAUGAUCUUCCACAGACAACUUUAUCGUUCUCAAAAUAGUAAUUAUAUUUCAUAAUAUCCACAUGGGAAGGAAAGAAAAUCGUUUUCUUCUGCAUGGGAGUGGCAGAGAGUUGUAGGAUGUGGAUGGCCUGGGUUUGUUUUCAUCCAGGUUGCUGAGCAAAAAGGCUAUUGUUCUUUAAAUGUAAUGGAUUCACGCAUGCACCUACGCUUCUCAAAAGGUGCUGAUGAGGCUGGCCCUGGACAGCACCCCAGCCAAGGAUCAUCUUCAGUGCCCUCUCCAUUUGUUUCAUUUUUGAAUACGUUUUCUUUAUUGCAUGUAUAGGCCUUUCCACAGUUCUGAUACACAAGCUGCAGGCAUCUGAUGUACCUGAGGGAGCAUCUUCCUCUACAGUCAGGAUCCUCACCACUCAUCGAGAUCAUCAGGAGGGGUCCAUCUUUCGGAGCCACCAGUUAAUCUGGUGGCAACCUCAUGCCCCUAAGUUGUGGAACACGUUCCCCAUAGAUAUAAGAGGACUGUCGUCCUUGGAGGCCUUCAGGAGAGCCUUGAAGAUCCAUCUUUUUAGCCUGCCUUUUAAUGACAUAUAGUUUUAAUGCUAUCUAGUUUUAAUUGCAAUUUUAAACUGUUUUUAAUUGGGGGGUUUUAUUUUAAUGGUUUUGUAUUUUUAUUUUCUUUUAGUGUAAACUGCCCUGAGCCACUUUAGGAAGGGUGCUAUGUAAAUUAAGUAAAUAAAUACAUAAAUAAAUUAUCACAGCCAUAAAUCAUUAAUGUUUUGUGUUGUAAAUCUGGAUUUAUCUGGAUUUGCAAAUCUGUACUUAUUUAUGUCCAUAUGUAAGCAAAUAAACAAAUUUGUUUGAUCUAA
Hemicordylus capensis (graceful crag lizard) is the source of this 999-nucleotide long non-coding RNA. RefSeq lists it as uncharacterized. NCBI's taxonomy places the organism in Eukaryota, Metazoa, Chordata, Lepidosauria, Squamata, Cordylidae. The transcript has 2 exons. The record is from RefSeq and is a predicted model, not a curated record.